ACACGACUCUCGGCAACGGAUAUCUCGGCUCUCGCAUCGAUGAAGAACGUAGCGAAAUGCGAUACCUGGUGUGAAUUGCAGAAUCCCGCGAACCAUCGAGUCUUUGAACGCAAGUUGCGCCCGAGGCCAUUCGGUUGAGGGCACGCCUGCCUGGGCGUCACG
This 162-nucleotide ribosomal RNA is filed under the name Agrostis stolonifera. Its description in RNAcentral is "5.8S ribosomal RNA". It matches the Rfam family "5.8S ribosomal RNA". Rfam says of the family: 5.8S ribosomal RNA (5.8S rRNA) is a component of the large subunit of the eukaryotic ribosome. The record is from RNAcentral. Lineage: Eukaryota; Viridiplantae; Streptophyta; Magnoliopsida; Poales; Poaceae. RNAcentral also lists the same sequence under 1 other name.